UGAAUACGAGAUGCUACGGCGUCGAAGCAGUCUAUGUCAUACUUCCAAGAAAAGCUUGCACUGUCAUAAACAAAUAAUGCCUGUACCAUAACCGACACAGGUGGGUAGGUAGAGUAUACUAAGGGGCGCGAGAUAACUCUCUCUAAGGAACUCGGCAAAAUGACUCCGUAACUUCGGGAGAAGGAGUGCCUUAUUUAUAAGGUUGCAAUAACAAGAUCCAAGCAACUGUUUACCAAAAACACAGGUCUCCGCUAAGUCGUAAGACGAUGUAUGGGGGCUGACGCCUGCCCAGUGCCAGAAGGUUAAAGAAGUUGGUUAGCAUCCGCGAAGCUGAUAACUGAAGCCCUGGUGAACGGCGGCCGUAACAAUAACGGUCCUAAGGUAGCGAAAUUCCUUGUCGGGUAAGUUCCGACCCGCACGAAAGGCGUAAUGAUUUGGAUACUGUCUCGGAGAGGGGCUCGGUGAAAUAGACUUGUCUGUGAAGAUGCGGACUACCUGCACCAGGACAGAAAGACCCUAUGAAGCUUUACUGUAACCUGAAAUUGAAAUUUGACUUUACUUGCGCAGUAUAGGUGGGAGGCGUUGAGAAUAUUCUUGCGGGAUUAUUGGAGCCAUCAGUGAGAUACCACUCUUGUAAUGUUAGAUUUCUAACUUUGUAUCAUUAUCUGGUCAAAGAACAGUUUCAGGCGGGCAGUUUGACUGGGGCGGUCGCCUCCUAAACGGUAACGGAGGCGCACAAAGGUUUCCUCUGAACGGGUAGAAAUCGUAUCUAGAGUGUAAAGGCAUAAGGAAGCUUGACUGUGAGACCUACAAGUCGAGCAGGGACGAAAGUCGGUCUUAGUGAUCUGACGGUGCUGAGUGGAAAGGCCGUCACUCAACGGAUAAAAGUUACUCUAAGGAUAACAGGCUGAUCUCCCCCAAGAGUUCACAUCGACGGGGAGGUUUGGCACCUCGAUGUCGGCUCAUCGCAUCCUGGGGCGGUAGUACGUCCCAAGGGUUGGGCUGUUCGCCCAUGAAAGCGGUACGCGAGCUGGGUUCAGAACGUCGUGAGACAGUUCGGUCCAUAUCCGGUGUAGGCGUUAGAAUAUUGAGAGGAGCCUUCUUUAGUACGAGAGGACCGAGAAGGACAUACCUCUGGUGUACCAGUUAUCGUGCCAACGGUAAACGCUGGGUAGCUAUGUGUGGAGUGGAUAACCGCUGAAAGCAUCUAAGUGGGAAGCCCACCUCAAGAUAAG
Molecule: ribosomal RNA, 1235 nt
Filed under: metagenome
Description: bacterial LSU rRNA
Rfam family: Bacterial large subunit ribosomal RNA
Source: RNAcentral